This is a long non-coding RNA of Balaenoptera ricei (Rice's whale), 1049 nucleotides long. RefSeq lists it as uncharacterized. The transcript has 5 exons. The record is from RefSeq and is a predicted model, not a curated record. NCBI's taxonomy places the organism in Eukaryota, Metazoa, Chordata, Mammalia, Artiodactyla, Balaenopteridae.
GGGAGAGAGGGGAACGCAGUGAUUCUUCCUGGGGCCGGAAGGGCGUGGAGAGGAGAGGCUGGGAGCCUAAUUCAAGGAUGGCUGGGAGCCGAAUGGAGCCGGUUAUCCUGGGAGAAGCAGGGGACUGCCGCGUGGGGGGGCCUGGAGGCCGGAGCCCGGAGGGGUGGGACGCAGUGAGGCAGGUGCGCCAGGACAAAACCUCCAAGACCUGGGAGGCUCAGGCUUGGCGCUGUGCCUCUGAGAAACACAGCCCAGUGGCCAAAACCAGCAGCAAGGAUUCCAGCCUUGAUUUCCAUCUCUCAGCAAACACCAGGGGGGACCCAAUUCUUCAGCCUAAAUGCCCUGUCCCCUCCCUUCCCAAGUCACCUCUGCCCCUCAGAGCCCUGCCUCUUUAGAGGGGAGAAGGGAGACCCGCCUUCUGAGUGUGCAGCUUCAAGGCCAAGGGCAAGGGAGGGGUCCUCAUCCCUGAGUGCGCCACAGAAGGGCUGCCAGUGGCCGAGCCGUAGAUCCCUGGCCAAAGCCAGGCCUCCCGCUUCAGCCGCUGGGAGAGGCUCAGGAUUCUGCCUGCUCCCCGCCCCAGCUGACACACCCACUGACCACAGCCAACUGCAGCCAGGAGCCAGGUUCGGGAAGCGAUGGGGGACUGCGGCUCAGCAGUGCACGUCAAGCCCGAGCCUGAGGUUCAAGCCCGAGCCUGAGGUCACACCCUGACCGUGCAGGACCCUCAGGCCUGCUGCCUGCACCACCCAGCAGGGUCCAGGCUGCCCAGAGACCACCCAGACCCCGUCUCUGCUGGGGAUCAGGGAGCACUGCUGGAAGGGGUCCACACCGUCCGGCCCGGUUGAUCGGGACACUCUCCAUCCCGGAAGACCAGUCUCCCAUGAGGGAGCCUCAGACGUCAGGACGUGCGAUCAGCGGGCCCAAGGGGGGCUCCCACUCAGGGCGCAGUGAGCGAAGCGUGGGAAGCCGGUCCCACCUGCCGCCGGGCUUUGACAGGGAGCCUCAGUGGGUGAGCCGGUGACCUGGAGCGCUGCCAGCGCGGGUGGACC